GUCGAACGGGAUCCAGGCAGCUUGCUGCCUGGUGAGAGUGGCGAACGGGUGAGUAAUGCGUGACCGACCUGCCCCAUGCACCGGAAUAGCUCCUGGAAACGGGUGGUAAUGCCGGAUGCUCCAUCACACCGCAUGGUGUGUUGGGAAAGCCUUUGCGGCAUGGGAUGGGGUCGCGUCCUAUCAGCUUGAUGGCGGGGUAACGGCCCACCAUGGCUUCGACGGGUAGCCGGCCUGAGAGGGCGACCGGCCACAUUGGGACUGAGAUACGGCCCAGACUCCUACGGGAGGCAGCAGUGGGGAAUAUUGCACAAUGGGCGCAAGCCUGAUGCAGCGACGCCGCGUGAGGGAUGGAGGCCUUCGGGUUGUAAACCUCUUUUGUUAGGGAGCAAGGCAUUUUGUGUUGAGUGUACCUUUCCAAUAAGCACCGGCUAACUAC
RNAcentral lists this ribosomal RNA (436 nucleotides) under Bifidobacterium breve. RNAcentral describes it as "bacterial SSU rRNA". It matches the Rfam family "Bacterial small subunit ribosomal RNA", at positions 61 to 504 of the family's 1533-position model. Lineage: Bacteria; Bacillati; Actinomycetota; Actinomycetes; Bifidobacteriales; Bifidobacteriaceae. The record is from RNAcentral.